This 672-nucleotide long non-coding RNA is filed under the name Homo sapiens (human). RNAcentral describes it as "long intergenic non-protein coding RNA 2885". The record is from RNAcentral. Lineage: Eukaryota; Metazoa; Chordata; Mammalia; Primates; Hominidae.
GGGCAAGACAAUAUGUCUCCUGCUUUCAUGGAAUAUAUGUUCUCCUUCCCAGUAUUGCAUCUUCCACAGCAUGUGGACAGGAAUCAGAUGGGCAUAGGGCAUCUGGUCCAUGAUCAUCCUUUGUUCGUGCUGAUCUCUGAUGAAAUAUCUGAAGAAGAAGGAGAACACCAUGUGAAGCUGGAGGCAGAGAUUGGAGUGACACGCCUACAAACUGAGGGGCACCAAAGACCACCAGCAACCACCAGAAGCUGGAAGAGGCAUGGCACAGAUGACCACAAGAGCCUCCAGAAGGAACCAACCAUGCUGACGCCUUGAUUUUGGACUUCCAGCCUCUCAAAUUGUGAGCAAAUAAAUUUUUGUUGUUUUAAGCUACCCAGUUGUGGUACACUGUUAUGGUAGCCUGAUAUAGUUUGGCUGUGUCCCCAUGCAAAUCUCAUCUUGAAUUGUAGCUCCCAUAAUUCCCACAUGUUAUGAGAGGGAUCCGGUGGGAGGUAAUUGAAGCAUGGAGAAAGGUCUUUCCCAUGCUGUUCUCAUGAUAGCGAACACAUCUCAUGAGAUCUGAUGGUUUUAUAAAUGGGAGUUUCCCUGUACAUGCUCCCUUUGCCUGCCACCAUGUGAGACGUGACUUUGUUCCUCCUUCACCUUCUGCCAUGAUUGUGAGCCCUCCUCAGC